Molecule: ribosomal RNA, 253 nt
Filed under: uncultured bacterium
Lineage: Bacteria
Description: partial 16S ribosomal RNA
Rfam family: Bacterial small subunit ribosomal RNA
Source: RNAcentral
UACAGAGGGUGCGAGCGUUAAUCGGAAUUACUGGGCGUAAAGCGUGCGUAGACGGUUAUCUAAGUCGGAUGUGAAAGCCCCGGGCUCAACCUGGGAAUUGCAUUCGAGACUGAAUAGCUAGGGUACGGUAGAGGGAAGUGGAAUUUCCGGUGUAGCGGUGGAAUGCGUAGAGAUCGGGAAGAACAUCAGUGGCGAAGGCGGUCUGCUGGGCCGUUGCUGACGCUGAGGCGCGACAGCGUGGGGAGCAAACAGG